UACGAAGGGGGCUAGCGUUGCUCGGAAUUACUGGGCGUAAAGGGCGCGUAGGCGGCUUGGUCAGUCAGGCGUGAAAUUCCUGGGCUCAACCUGGGGACUGCGCUUGAUACGGCCAGGCUUGAGGCCGAGAGAGGGUGGUGGAAUUCCCAGUGUAGAGGUGAAAUUCGUAGAUAUUGGGAAGAACACCGGUAGCGAAGGCGACCACCUGGAUCGGUACUGACGCUGAGGCGCGACAGCGUGGGGAGCAAACAGG
This 253-nucleotide ribosomal RNA is filed under the name uncultured bacterium. RNAcentral's name for it is "partial 16S ribosomal RNA". It matches the Rfam family "Bacterial small subunit ribosomal RNA", at positions 524 to 776 of the family's 1533-position model. The record is from RNAcentral.